This 77-nucleotide transfer RNA is filed under the name Pseudoxanthomonas sp. RNAcentral describes it as "tRNA-Arg". It matches the Rfam family "tRNA". Rfam says of the family: Transfer RNA (tRNA) molecules are approximately 80 nucleotides in length. Their secondary structure includes four short double-helical elements and three loops (D, anti-codon, and T loops). Further hydrogen bonds mediate the characteristic L-shaped molecular structure. tRNAs have two regions of fundamental functional importance: the anti-codon, which is responsible for specific mRNA codon recognition, and the 3' end, to which the tRNAs corresponding amino acid is attached (by aminoacyl-tRNA synthetases). tRNAs cope with the degeneracy of the genetic code in two manners: having more than one tRNA (with a specific anti-codon) for a particular amino acid; and 'wobble' base-pairing, i.e. permitting non-standard base-pairing at the 3rd anti-codon position. Lineage: Bacteria; Pseudomonadati; Pseudomonadota; Gammaproteobacteria; Lysobacterales; Lysobacteraceae. The record is from RNAcentral.
GACCCCGUAGCUCAGAUGGAUAGAGUGCAUCCCUCCUAAGGAUGAAGUCGAAGGUUCGAGUCCUUCCGGGGUCGCCA